GGUUAAGUGAAUAAGGGCGCACGGUGGAUGCCUUGGCACUAGGAGCCGAUGAAGGACGGGACUAACACCGAUAUGCUUUGGGGAGCUGUACGUAAGCUAUGAUCCAGAGAUUUCCGAAUGGGGGAACCCAACAUCUUUAAUAGGAUGUUAC
RNAcentral lists this ribosomal RNA (151 nucleotides) under Enterococcus faecium. RNAcentral's name for it is "partial 23S ribosomal RNA". It matches the Rfam family "Bacterial large subunit ribosomal RNA", at positions 1 to 151 of the family's 2925-position model. Lineage: Bacteria; Bacillati; Bacillota; Bacilli; Lactobacillales; Enterococcaceae. The record is from RNAcentral.